Molecule: non-coding RNA, 29 nt
Filed under: Mus musculus (house mouse)
Lineage: Eukaryota; Metazoa; Chordata; Mammalia; Rodentia; Muridae
Source: RNAcentral
UACUAAAGUGUGUGAAAUGUUUGGACAUG